Daucus carota subsp. sativus is the source of this 116-nucleotide non-coding RNA. The record is from Rfam. Lineage: Eukaryota; Viridiplantae; Streptophyta; Magnoliopsida; Apiales; Apiaceae.
GGGGAACAUCCAUAGUUGUAGAUGUUGCCUGAUAUAAGCUUCCUAUAGAAAACUCUAUAAUUUCCUGCUUGUGGCUGUUAAGAAAGUUCACAUGUCUCCAAUUAUAAGAUACACAG